AGACAUUUUGCCCUCCACCGCUCCCACAUCAAAAAAAUCUAGGUUAGAGAGAUGGAUAAACAGAGAUAGAAGCACGACAGAGACAGAGAGAGAGAGAGGAGCGGCGGAGAUGGAGGAACCGGGUCUCCCGUCGGUCACCCUCUUGGCCUUCGGUCAGACCGGUGGCGGGUUGUGGUGGUUAACUUCAUAUAGAAAAAGAAAAGCUGAGGAAUCAAAAGGUACGGUGGUGGUUGGCGCCGGCGGUAUCCGUGGGCGGAGGCCAUCCUGUACUCCGAAGAUGGGAACUACGAUGGCGGUAGCGAUAUUUCUGGCGGUGGCUAGGGUUCAGUUCCGACGACGGUGGUCGUGUGGUUGACUGGUUGUGGUGGAAAAUUCUGGCCGAAGAGGUGCCUGCCAGCGAUGCAUCUCCUAUUUCUAUUUCUGUUUUAUACACAUGAUAACAAGGUUUCAUCCUCUCACCCCAAAUCCUUUUCAGUUUCUUGCGACAUGGCUAGCCAAUCAACGAAUUCAUCGGCGGCGGCAGAAGAUCACCCGACGGUGUUACGUUCUAAUUCGCUCAGAAGGUUUGGUAAUGCCUUUCUACAACACAUAUUGUUCCUGAGAAGGCUAGCAGUGUUACCCCAGCAGCUCCGCCUUCACAAUUCGUUAGGGUUUCAUACCGAUAAAAGGUGUCUCUAUUUAUCAAGUGGAUUCUACUGAAUCUGUAAAUGAUCAACCACCGGUUGAAGAGAACCUUGAUCGAGGUGCAUCUUCACUGGUCCUUCAUCUCACGUGUCCUCAAAACGGCAAAAGGUUUUCUUAAAUCAAGAUUUAUAUACGUUUUUUCGUUACAUUGUUGAGAAGGGCAGGUUGCAGGAAGAUGACGGUCGUAAUUUCUUUAAGCAGAUAAUUUGUGGUGUGGAGUAUUGCCACUGGAACAUGGUGGCUCAUAGAGAACUUAAACCUGAGAACUUGCUGUUGGAUUCCAAGUGCGGUGUCAAAAUUGCUGAUUUGGUCUAAGCAAUAUCAUGCGUAAUGGUCAUUUUCUCAAAACAAGUUGUGGAAGUCCAAAUUACGCUGCCCCUGAGGGCUAUAUCUGGCGAACUGUGUGCUGGACCUGAGGUUGAUGUGUGGAGCUGGGGUGUUAAAUUUAUAUCCUUUUCUCUGUGGCACAUUUCCUUUUGAUGAUAAAAAUAUUCCAAAUCUCUUUAAGAAGAUUAAGGUGCUUUCAAAGAUAGUUUUUUACAUGGAAACUUUUAAAAUAUUCUUUGAAAGUAUGGAAACAGUUGUUAACUAUUUAAAAAAUAUUUUGGGUUGUUGUUCAGGGUGGUAUACAAUGAUAUAUACACUUCCUAGCUACUUAUCACCUGGUGCAAGAGAUCUAACCUCAGGGAUGCUUGUGGUGGAAGGGUUUGACACCUUUUUUUGGCUUAUCUCAUUAUCUCACCUCUUUGUCCGUAUAUCACUUUUUUGGAUGUGUCUAGCGAUGGAUUUCUCUGAUGAUCUUGUGCUAAAAACGGUCCGAUGAUGGAGAUGACGGAGGGUCUUGGUUCUACGAUGGUAAACCGUAUGUUGGUGGCUUUGGUUGUGGAAAGUGCUCCGGUUAUGGUCAUCUUGGUGCAUCUUUGAGUCAUGACUUUUGGAGCUUAUGCCGAGUUUGCUAUGGUGCCCUUGCUCGACGACGACUAUGAUGUCCUACCUAAUUGGCAGCAACAAUGAUAGACUGAAUAAGAUGGAAAUUGCUUGCUAGGAGAGGAUGAUGUUUCAAGUGUGUCACAUUGGUCUAACCUUUCAUGAACCCAAGCUUAAGCUCCACAUAUCUUAUGUUAAAGGUUUAUCAUAUAAUUGUACCACCAACCAUUUCUUUAACAUUUCAGAGGACCAAACAACCUAUUUUAUAAUAGCCAGACAGGAGUUGGGAAAAUCUAUACACUGCAGGAAGCAGUUAAUUACUUGCUGGUCAGGAACAACAGUCGGCUACUUAAUUUGCCUUUUUGUAGCAUAGGAGAUAAAAUUAUUCAAUCAUAACUAAAAGACUUUAUAAUUUAGUCUUGCCCAAUAUUAUUUGUUGUAUAGGCUAUAUGUACUAUUUUACUAUAUCACGUCUUUAAUAUGAAUGCUGGUGUCGGUAGACUGCCGUUACCAUA
This is a long non-coding RNA of Helianthus annuus (common sunflower), 2126 nucleotides long. RefSeq lists it as uncharacterized. The record is from RefSeq and is a predicted model, not a curated record. Lineage: Eukaryota; Viridiplantae; Streptophyta; Magnoliopsida; Asterales; Asteraceae. The transcript has 10 exons.